Molecule: long non-coding RNA, 367 nt
Filed under: Zostera marina
Lineage: Eukaryota; Viridiplantae; Streptophyta; Magnoliopsida; Alismatales; Zosteraceae
Description: long non-coding RNA (ZMAR_LNC003194)
Source: RNAcentral
GUAUUUCGGUUCUAAAUUUUAGCUAGUAGAGAAUCAUCUCAUAAAUUCACCACUCUCACCUUCCUUUGUUUAUGUCCAUUUAUUUUUCCAACAUUAUCAAUAGUUGUACUUCUCUUCUAUUUGGAAAUUAAACCAUGCAAAGUUAUUCAAGCCAACCCUCUCGUUGAUGAAAUCCAUGUCGAAUGAACAACACUGCAACAAUUAUUCAUAUCCAAAGAAUCGUAUGCAUUUUCUCAUCAAACUCCGCAAAAACAUGGAUUGACCUCUUUACCUCAAGCAAUGAUUAUGAAGCCGGCAUGGAUGGUUAUAGUCAAAGGAAGGGGAUUGUGGUGAACUUGUGAUAUGAUUCUCUAGUAGAUGUUUAGGG